GGAGAAAUGGCCGAGUGGCUGAAGGCACACCCCUGCUAAGGGUGCAUACGGAAAACCCGUAUCGAGGGUUCGAAUCCCUCUUUCUCCGCCA
This 91-nucleotide transfer RNA is filed under the name Neisseriales bacterium. RNAcentral's name for it is "tRNA-Ser". It matches the Rfam family "tRNA". From Rfam's summary of the family: Transfer RNA (tRNA) molecules are approximately 80 nucleotides in length. Their secondary structure includes four short double-helical elements and three loops (D, anti-codon, and T loops). Lineage: Bacteria; Pseudomonadati; Pseudomonadota; Betaproteobacteria; Neisseriales. The record is from RNAcentral.